UACGGGGGGGGCAAGCGUUGUUCGGAAUUACUGGGCGUAAAGGGCUCGUAGGUGGCCAACUAAGUCAUACGUGAAAUCCCUCAGCUUAACUGGGGAACUGCGUCUGAUACUGGAUGGCUUGAGUUUGGGAGAGGGAUGCGGAAUUCCAGGUGUAGCGGUGAAAUGCGUAGAUAUCUGGAGGAACACCGGUGGCGAAGGCGGCAUCCUGGACCAAUACUGACACUGAGGAGCGAAAGCUAGGGGAGCAAACGGG
This 253-nucleotide ribosomal RNA is filed under the name uncultured bacterium. Its description in RNAcentral is "partial 16S ribosomal RNA". It matches the Rfam family "Bacterial small subunit ribosomal RNA", at positions 524 to 776 of the family's 1533-position model. The record is from RNAcentral.